GACGAACGCUGGCGGCGUGCUUAACACACGCAAGUGGAACGGAAAGGCCAUGCUUUUGUGGGGUGCUCGAGUGGCGAACGGGUGAGUAACACGUGAGUAACCUGCCCUUGACUUUGGGAUAACUUCAGGAAACUGGGGCUAAUACCGGAUAGGAGCUCCUGCUGCAUGGUGGGGGUUGGAAAGUUUCGGCGGUUGGGGAUGGACUCGCGGCUUAUCAGCUUGUUGGUGGGGUAGCGGCUUACCAAGGCUUUGACGGGUAGCCGGCCUGAGAGGGUGACCGGCCACAUUGGGACUGAGAUACGGCCCAGACUCCUACGGGAGGCAGCAGUGGGGAAUAUUGCACAAUGGGCGGAAGCCUGAUGCAGCAACGCCGCGUGCGGGAUGACGGCCUUCGGGUUGUAAACCGCUUUCGCCUGUGACGAAGCGUGAGUGACGGUAAUGGGUAAAGAAGCACCGGCUAACUACGUG
This 468-nucleotide ribosomal RNA is filed under the name uncultured bacterium. RNAcentral's name for it is "partial 16S ribosomal RNA". It matches the Rfam family "Bacterial small subunit ribosomal RNA", at positions 28 to 507 of the family's 1533-position model. The record is from RNAcentral.